CGAGUGGAGCGUGGUAAGAGCAGAGGCGAGGUUGAGCGGAGGGGUCGGGGAGUGGGGCAGAGGCAGGGCUAGGACAACUAUCCUGGAAGUGAUCAAGCCUGUGCCCCAGCCCAAGCUCCUGGAGAUCUCUAACCAGAACAGUUCUCACAUCAAGCUGAUCUGCCUCCUGCCCAAUGGAACCAUGGCUGCUGUCUCCUGGAAGAAAGAUGGACAUUCCCUUAUCCCACAAAAUUAUUAUUAUCAGCUCACUCAGAACUCCACUGAAUUGUGGAUAAGGAAGGGAGGGAGGUCAAACUGUGGCUCCUACUCCUGCAAUGUCAGCAAUGCUGUAAGCUGGAAUGUGGCAACCGUCAACCUCACAAUAACAGGUCUCUCGCCUCCUCUCCAUAAUGCAUUGAGGAUGACAGUGGCUGCACUGGUUUUCGCUGUCAUUGCUGCCAUCAGCUUUGUUAUCCAGCUCGUGAAGCCAGGGGCGCACAGACUCGGAAAAGAAGCAUGGACAUGGCUAACUAAACCCAUCAUAGGGCUGCUGGGCAUCUCAAGUCUCCUCCUGUUUGUCACCUCUGUCAUCUGGAUGCGGGAAGAAGGUCCUUCUGCUGCCUUCAUCCUGCAUGGGCUUUACUUCCUUGCUGCAGUCAUGAUUAUGGUGAUGAUUGCUGUGAUCUCUCUGUGCAGACCAGAAGCACUCACCCAGCGUCCAGCCCAGACCUGCCCCCGUGUCAUCCAGCACAGCACACCCAUGACAAUGGCAGCCAACUUGUCAUUCUCCUGCCUCUUGCUCCACAUCUUCCAGCAGGUCCAUGAGCGUGGCUGCUCGGAGCCAGUUAAUGUGAUUUCCAGCUGUGUCCUUGCUGUACUGGGAGCUCUCCUGCUGCUGCUGCUCUUCUUCCUCCAGUAUUACAAGAAGAAGAUGGAUGCGAGCACACGGACAAACACCCAAGGGAAAGCAGAUGAUCGAGGCUCAAACCAAGACAAGAAGAGCAACCUGUCCCUUCAGCAUCCUGGAGACAACAUCAGGCAGGAUCCAGGCUGA
Coturnix japonica (Japanese quail) is the source of this 1033-nucleotide long non-coding RNA. Ensembl lists it as uncharacterized. NCBI's taxonomy places the organism in Eukaryota, Metazoa, Chordata, Aves, Galliformes, Phasianidae. The record is from Ensembl.